This 321-nucleotide ribosomal RNA is filed under the name Allapsidae sp. Its description in RNAcentral is "SSU rRNA". It matches the Rfam family "Eukaryotic small subunit ribosomal RNA", at positions 634 to 955 of the family's 1831-position model. Lineage: Eukaryota; Cercozoa; Glissomonadida; Viridiraptoridae. The record is from RNAcentral.
GAUUUCUGACUUAGCGCACCUGGCCCGCCACGUUUACGUGUGUGAGUGCCGGGAUGCGCUUGUCACUUUUCUGGUAAACCAUUGUGCUCUUCACUGAGUGUGAUGGGUAGCCAGAUAUUUUACUUUGAAAAAAUUAGAGUGUUUAAAGCAGGCUUUUGCUAUGAAUACAUUAGCAUGGAAUAAUAAUUUAGGACUUCGGUUCUAUUUUGUUGGUUUCUAGGACUGAAGUAAUGAUUGAUAGGGACAGUUGGGGAUGCUGAAAUUCAUUGGCCAGAGGUGAAAUUCUUGGAUUCAAUGAAGUUCAACUCAUGCGAAAGCAUU